CCUACGGGAGGCAGCAGUGAGGAAUAUUGGUCAAUGGGCGCGAGCCUGAACCAGCCAAGUCGCGUGAGGGAAGACGGUCCUAUGGAUUGUAAACCUCUUUUGUCGGGGAGCAAAAGACGCCACGCGUGGCGUUCCGAGAGUACCCGAAGAAAAAGCAUCGGCUAACUCCGUGCCAGCAGCCGCGGUAAUACGGAGGAUGCGAGCGUUAUCCGGAUUUAUUGGGUUUAAAGGGUGCGCAGGCGGAAGAUCAAGUCAGCGGUAAAAUUGAGGGGCUCAACCUCUUCGAGCCGUUGAAACUGGUUGUCUUGAGUGAGCGAGAAGUAGGCGGAAUGCGUGGUGUAGCGGUGAAAUGCAUAGAGAUCACGCAGAACUCCGAUUGCGAAGGCAGCAUACCGGCGCUCAACUGACGCUCAUGCACGAAAGUGUGGGUAUCGAACAGGAUUAGAUACCCUGGUAGUC
Molecule: ribosomal RNA, 459 nt
Filed under: uncultured bacterium
Lineage: Bacteria
Description: partial 16S ribosomal RNA
Rfam family: Bacterial small subunit ribosomal RNA
Source: RNAcentral